Molecule: RNase P RNA, 421 nt
Filed under: Planctomycetota bacterium
Lineage: Bacteria; Pseudomonadati; Planctomycetota
Description: Planctomycetes bacterium RNase P RNA component class A
Rfam family: Bacterial RNase P class A
About the family: Ribonuclease P (RNase P) is a ubiquitous endoribonuclease, found in archaea, bacteria and eukarya as well as chloroplasts and mitochondria. Its best characterised activity is the generation of mature 5'-ends of tRNAs by cleaving the 5'-leader elements of precursor-tRNAs. Cellular RNase Ps are ribonucleoproteins.
Source: RNAcentral
GGAGCGGACCGGGUGAUCGCCGGCCCCGGCAUCCCGGCGUGGCUUCGGCCGCUCCGGAGACCGGCGGCGGGAGGAAAGUCCGGGCUCCGCAGGGUUCGAUGGUGGGUAACGCCCACCGGCCGCGAGGUCAGGGACAGUGCCACAGAGAACAGACCGCCGGCGGGGUUCGCCCCGCCGGUAAGGGUGAAACGGUGAGGUAAGAGCUCACCAGCAGGCCGGGUGACCGGUCUGGCUCGGCAAACCCCAUCGGGAGCAAGGCCAAGCAGGAAGAAGAUCGUCCCCCGAGGACGGCGCGAGGCGACCCGUCUCGCACCCGCUUCCGGGUCGGCUGCUGGAGGUUCCGGGCAACCGGGACCCUAGAGAAAUGGUCGCCUGCCCGCAUCCGCGGGCACAGAACCCGGCUUACAGGUCCGCUCCAGUC